AGAGUUUGAUCAUGGCUCAGAUUGAACGCUGGCGGAAUGCUUUACACAUGCAAGUCGAACGGCAGCACGGGGGCAACCCUGGUGGCGAGUGGCGAACGGGUGAGUAAUACAUCGGAACGUGCCCAGUCGUGGGGGAUAACUACGCGAAAGCGUAGCUAAUACCGCAUACGAACUCUGGUUGAAAGCGGGGGAUCGCAAGACCUCGCGCGAUUGGAGCGGCCGAUGGCAGAUUAGGUAGUUGGUGGGGUAAAGGCUCACCAAGCCGACGAUCUGUAGCUGGUCUGAGAGGACGACCAGCCACACUGGGACUGAGACACGGCCCAGACUCCUACGGGAGGCAGCAGUGGGGAAUUUUGGACAAUGGGCGCAAGCCUGAUCCAGCCAUUCCGCGUGCAGGAUGAAGGCCCCCGGGUUGUAAACUGCUUUUGUACGGAACGAAAAAGCCCUCUCUAAUACAGGGGGUCCAUGACGGUACCGUGAGAAUAAGCACCGGCUAACUACGUGCCAGCAGCCGCGGUAAUACGUAGGGUGCAAGCGUUAAUCGGAAUUACUGGGCGUAAAGCGUGCGCAGGCGGUGAUGUAAGACAGGUGUGAAAUCCCCGGGCUUAACCUGGGAACUGCAUUUGUGACUGCAUCGCUGGAGUGCGGCAGAGGGGGAUGGAAUUCCGCGUGUAGCAGUGAAAUGCGUAGAUAUGCGGAGGAACACCGAUGGCGAAGGCAAUCCCCUGGGCCUGCACUGACGCUCAUGCACGAAAGCGUGGGGAGCAAACAGGAUUAGAUACCCCGGUAGUCCUGGCCCUAAACGAUGAAUGCUUGGUGUGACGGGUAUCGAUCCCUGUCGUGCCGAAGCUAACGCAUUAAGCAUUCCGCCUGGGGAGUACGGUCGCAAGGCUGAAACUCAAAUGAAUUGACGG
This 914-nucleotide ribosomal RNA is filed under the name uncultured bacterium. Its description in RNAcentral is "bacterial SSU rRNA". It matches the Rfam family "Bacterial small subunit ribosomal RNA", at positions 8 to 916 of the family's 1533-position model. The record is from RNAcentral.